AGGGUAGACGGGUAAUUUGCACAACUUGAGCCACGGCUGCAGAGAUUUUUGUUUAAUCCAAUCCAAAACUACAGGUUGUAUGGUAUUGGAAAAUAGGAAAUUUAACAAAUGCUUAGUAUUAAGAGGUUGGUUAAAAAAAUUAUGUGCGUGUGAUGGGAUAUUAUACAACCAUCAAAAUGACAUAAAGUGAGGAGGAUUUAACUCCCUGGAGAGUAGAGCAUAACAGGACGGUAAUUAAGGCUUUGUUAUAUUCUCGAAGGACUAGAGAAAAGAUCAGGACGCAGAAAAAUUUAGUAUGAAAAUAUGACAUUUUAAAUCAGUAGGCAAAGACAAGUUAUCCAAUAAAUGAUGUCGGAAUAGCUGAUUAGCCAUUUAGAAAAAAACAUCUAAGUAAAUCCUCUAUGGAUUAAGUGUAUUCAUAAGAUUGAGGUUGUGAAAGCCUUCAAGGACAGCAACACAGAAAUCCUAAAGGAAAAUAUUCAUAGAUUUGAUAAUAUAAUUGUAACCACAGUUUUAUUAUUCCAUGAAAAUGCAGAAUUUUCUGAACAUGUUUUUAAAAUUCACCAUGAAUAGAGCCCUUUAAAAACAUGAGUUGGAAGAAGACAAAGGAUUGAUAGCCGUACUUUAGAAUGAACUCAGAUCAAUAGAAAAAACUCCCAUUGGAAGAGAACAAGGCAAAAGAUAUCAACAAUUGUAUAAUUGGUGCACAGUUUCGGUUUGGGAAGAUGCAAAAAUUAUGGAACGGAGCAGUGUGGUGAUGGUUGUACAACAUCAUGAAUGUACUUAAGGACACUGAACUGCACCCUUAAAAAUGGUUCUAAUGCAUCUGGGUGGCACAGUAGGUCAAGCAUCUGUCUUGAUUUUGGCUCAAGUCAUGAUCUUGUGGUUCCUGAAUUCAAGCCCCACAUCGGGCUCUGUGCUGGCAGCUGGCAGCCUGUUUGGGAUUCUCUCUCUGCUCCUACCCCACUAGUUUGCUCACUCUCACCUUCUCUCUCAAAAAUAAAUAAGUAAAACUUUUUAAAAAAUUGUUAACUUUUCUGUAUAUUUUGCCACAGUAAAUUAUGAAAAUUUGUAAAUACACAAAUGCCAUUUUCCCAUCGUGACUGUAUAACUCUUUCACGAGGGUAAUUUCCAAAUUAGCUGCUUCAAGUAAAUUUCAGUGCCUGUAUCUCCAAAGUAUUGUGCUGAAAUCUGAAAGUAGGAGAAGGGAAAGAAAAAUUUUAAAGGUUAAUUAAAAACCCCAUUCUUGAAGAUCUUAUGCGUUCGUUUAAAAGGACACAUAUACUUUUGUAUCAUCCUUGUGAAUUACCAGAGAGAAACCUAUUUAGAAUCUAGGCUGGAAGGGACUGUGAAGUGAUUUUUAGAUGGCAGAGAUCUCAAGGUUGGCUCAGAUGUGUUGGCUUACUGCUCCAGAGUCCUCUUGGCUUUUCAUUCUCAAAGUGAUUUUCCAAUUUUAGCAUGCAUCUGAAUCACCUGGAGAGCUUGUUAAAAUAACCUCAGCUUGCAUAUUAGGCGGAUUUGGGCCAGGGCCUGCAAAUUUGCAUUUACAGUAAGUUCCCAGGUGAUGCUGCUGCUGCUGCUGCUGCUGGCCCAGUGAUCACCCUUUGGAAAUCACUCUUUAACAUAAGACAUAUCACUUGAUACCAUAUCCUAUGUUUAUGCAUCUAAUUCUUUACACCAGGAGCUCCUGGAACAGAAACCAUCUUGUCUGUCUUUGCACUCCCAGGUUCUAACUCACUGUUUGCCCCUGAAUAAGUUUUUGUUGAAUAAAUUAUUUGAAAGAAAAUAAUGUAGUGAGUGAUAAUAAACUUGAUAUUGUAUUUCACAUUAAAAAAAAAAAACCUUGAUUUGUUUGUUUCUCUUGAAAAGAGAUGAAUCAGGUAGCAGUGAACCCAGAGUCCGCACUGGCAACAGUUAGCUGACGCUGAGUGGUGUUGGGGCGCUUAGACCACAGCUGCUACAAUCCUUGCAAUCCUUCCCUUAUUACCCCUGCCUCCCCUCUCUCACCCCUACAGGUAUCAGCACUUGCCCCCAGGUCAACCCGUGACUUCUGAUUCCCUAGGGAACUGAAUUUUAAAAACCAAAAAGCCAGGAACAGUCUCCUGACUCUUCUGUUUUCUGCUGUCACAUUCUUUUCCUGAGAUAUUAGUACAAAAAGAUUCGUGGUUUGAAUAGAAGGCUGGGCAUUUGGGGAAGGGAAAUGCAGAAAGAAAAAUGGCUGACAUCUUGGAAUAUUGUACCAUCAAUUAAGUAUAUAGUGUUGCGGUAGCCAGAUGAGAAGGUGACUGAUGCGGUGGAGAAGUGGGUAAAGAAAAAGGGGCAUUGGUUAAAGGACAGCAAAAGAAAGGGGGAAGCAGAGGUGUCCAAGCUGGGCUUCCAUUUACUGACUGAGCAUUUACUCUUUGCUAGGCAUUGGAAUAACCACUUCGUGUGCAUUCUCUGAUUUAAUGAUCAACCGCAGGGAGCACCCUGGAUGGAUGGAGUGGCAGAAGAUAUUUCAAGCAGAGAAAAACAGCAUGACCAAUGGCUUGAGGACUUUACAUAGGACCACAUUCUGGCAAUUGAGUGUGAUCUCCAUAGGGCUUGUCUAUAAGGAAGUGUCAGUAGGUGACACUAGAAAGAUCCAUUGGGACUGGGCCAUUGUUAGCCCUUAUGCCAUGUUAAAGAAAUAAGACCUUAUUCUGAGAGGCUUCAACAUGAAGACACUGUAAACAAAAAAGGAUUAUCCUGUCUUCAAAACCUUGAUGCAUCCAGACUGGGAGAAAACAUGUGUGAUCCUGGUUUCCAAACUUGAGUAAAUUCACAAUAGAACUAGAAAAGGCUAGAGCAAUGUUGGAGAAAGAAUAUGGGCUCUUCAGUCUGAAAAGGCAAGGGCAAAGAGGGCUUCUGUGAAGCCUAUCAUUUCAUAAACAGCAAGGUGAGGGUGAACACGGGCCGAAACCUCUACUGUAAUCAGAAAAAACAGCUUACGUUUUGAGCAAGGGUGGAUGGUCUGAAGCCUUUUGCUGUCUGACAUGCCCACAAAGCCCUUCUCUGAAACAGCCUUGCAUUGUGUCAUGGGACCCAACCAUGCUGUAAGAACUGAUUGGGUCAGGAACCUGCCAAAGACAGCCAUGUAGGGGAGCUGACGUGGCCCCUACCCAGUGCAGGAGAGUAGGGAAGAGGAGUGUCUGUACUGACUAAUGGCAAUUAGACCCAAUCACUUCUCUCCUGGGACGUUAUUAAUUAAGAGGUACCAAAAGGGAGGGCGGCUGCAUAAAGAAGUAGUGAAGUAAAACACCAAGGAAGCAUUUGGUAGCAUCACCACAGUGAGAAAUACUUUUGAUCGGAUGACCUAGAGAAACCAAUAUAGCAAAAGGUUUUAGCGCACACAUUCCAGGGUUAGACUCUUUGGUGUGUUUAAAGACACCCACCAGCUCUGUAACCUUGGACAACUUCUGUAGCUAAUCUGAGCUUCAUUUGCAUCUAUAGAAAUAAAGAUAAAGCCUGCCCUACAGGGUGUUGUGCAGUUAUAGGAGAUCAUGUGUAUGAAGCGCUUAGGGUAUUCCUUGCCAUAUGGUAAGUGCUCAGUGGCUGUUAUUAAUUUACUUGAAAGAAAAAAGAAUUAAGGGCACCUGGGUGGUUCAGUCAUUUGAGUGUCCAACUCUUGAUUUCAGCUCAGGUCAUGAUCUCAGGGUCAUGGGAUUCUCCCUCUUUCUCUCUCUCUCUCUCUUCCCACCCACACUCUGUAAAUAAUAAAAAAUAAAGAAUUAUAUUCAGAUCCUC
Acinonyx jubatus (cheetah) is the source of this 3765-nucleotide long non-coding RNA. RefSeq lists it as uncharacterized. Lineage: Eukaryota; Metazoa; Chordata; Mammalia; Carnivora; Felidae. The record is from RefSeq and is a predicted model, not a curated record. The transcript has 2 exons.